CUAGUUAAGCCAGAGUCGCGGCAAGCCCGAUGGGCUCACACGUUCCAGCACUUUCAUCAUAUCGGCGCGAAGCCGCGCCGCAUCCUGGGCGCAGAAACGCGCCAUUGCAAAUCCGUUCCACGCCGAAACGCCAACUUCCGCACCGAACGCAUCGGACACCUCGCGAAUGUGCUCAACAACAGCCUCGUCGCCGGGCACGAUCAGCGCCGUUCCGAUGGCGAUGCCACCGUUCGCGACCGCGCGACUUGCCAGCUUCCCCGCAAUGUCACCGUCGAGCCGGAU
This 282-nucleotide unclassified non-coding RNA is filed under the name Hevea brasiliensis (rubber tree). The record is from RNAcentral. Lineage: Eukaryota; Viridiplantae; Streptophyta; Magnoliopsida; Malpighiales; Euphorbiaceae.